Molecule: long non-coding RNA, 239 nt
Organism: Perca flavescens (yellow perch)
Lineage: Eukaryota; Metazoa; Chordata; Actinopteri; Perciformes; Percidae
Exons: 3
Source: RefSeq, a predicted model, not a curated record
CUCACCUUAAGCACAGGAGAGACAACUGAAACCAGCGUCAUUCUCUGACUCUCUAGAUUUCAGCAGGAACAAUGGCCAACAUUGGUAAUACCACGGACAUAAAGAUGGGCUCCAACUCAGGGGACGUUGGUUCCAAAAAUACCUUCGAUCUUAAAGGAGGGGUUGGAAACAAUGCUUCUGUGGGCAACACCACUGGAGUCACUAUCGGAGGAAAUAAUUCAGGAAACAUUGGAGGAAGC